UGGGGAAUAUUGCUCAAUGGAGGGAACUCUGAUGCAGCGACGCCGCGUGAACGAAGAAGGCUUUCGAGUCGUAAAGUUCUUUUAUAUGGGAAGAUAAUGACGGUACCAUAAGAAAAAGCCCCGGCUAACUACGUGCCAGCAGCCGCGGUAAUACGUAGGGGGCUAGCGUUGUCCGGAAUCACUGGGCGUAAAGGGUUCGCAGGCGGAAAUGCAAGUCAGGUGUAAAAGGCAGUAGCUUAACUACUGUAAGCAUUUGAAACUGCAUAUCUUGAGAAGAGUAGAGGUAAGUGGAAUUUUUAGUGUAGCGGUGAAAUGCGUAGAUAUUAAAAAGAAUACCGGUGGCGAAGGCGACUUACUGGGCUCAUUCUGACGCUGAGGAACGAAAGCGUGGGUAGCAAACAGG
Molecule: ribosomal RNA, 403 nt
Filed under: bacterium
Lineage: Bacteria
Also listed under: 1 other name
Description: partial 16S ribosomal RNA
Rfam family: Bacterial small subunit ribosomal RNA
Source: RNAcentral